This 253-nucleotide ribosomal RNA is filed under the name uncultured bacterium. Its description in RNAcentral is "partial 16S ribosomal RNA". It matches the Rfam family "Bacterial small subunit ribosomal RNA", at positions 524 to 776 of the family's 1533-position model. The record is from RNAcentral.
UACGUAGGGGGCAAGCGUUGUCCGGAAUCAUUGGGCGUAAAGAGCGUGUAGGCGGCCAAGCAGGUCCGUUGUGAAAACUGGAGGCUUAACCUCCAGACGUCGACGGAAACCGCGUGGCUAGAGUCCGGAAGAGGAGAGUGGAAUUCCUGGUGUAGCGGUGAAAUGCGCAGAUAUCAGGAAGAACACCAAUGGCGAAGUCAGCUCUCUGGGACGGUACUGACGCUGAGACGCGAAAGCGUGGGGAGCAAACAGG